Molecule: ribosomal RNA, 521 nt
Filed under: uncultured Glomeromycotina
Lineage: Eukaryota; Fungi; Glomeromycota
Description: SSU rRNA
Rfam family: Eukaryotic small subunit ribosomal RNA
Source: RNAcentral
AGCAGCCGCGGUAAUUCCAGCUCCAAUAGCGUAUAUUAAAGUUGUUGCAGUUAAAAAGCUCGUAGUUGAAUUUCGGGAUCAAUAUGUUGGUCGUGCCUUGGUACGUACUGGCGUCAUUGGUUUCUACCUUCUGAAGAACCUCGAUGUCAUUAAUUUGGUGUCUUGGGGAAUCAGGACUGUUACUUUGAAAAAAUUAGAGUGUUUAAAGCAAGCUCACGCUUGAAUACAUUAGCAUGGAAUAAUGAAAUAGGACGUUUGAUUCUAUUUUGUUGGUUUCUAGGAUCGACGUAAUGAUUAAUAGGGAUAGUUGGGGGCACUAGUAUUCAAUUGUCAGAGGUGAAAUUCUUGGAUUUAUUGAAGACUAACUACUGCGAAAGCAUUUGCCAAGGAUGUUUUCAUUAAUCAAGAACGAAAGUUAGGGGAUCGAAGACGAUCAGAUACCGUCGUAGUCUUAACCAUAAACUAUGCCGACUAGGGAUCGGAUGAUGUUAAUUUUUUAAUGACUCAUUCGGCGCCUUACG